This 398-nucleotide ribosomal RNA is filed under the name uncultured bacterium. RNAcentral describes it as "bacterial SSU rRNA". It matches the Rfam family "Bacterial small subunit ribosomal RNA", at positions 143 to 518 of the family's 1533-position model. The record is from RNAcentral.
AUAACAUCCGGAAACGGGUGCUAAUACCCGCAUAGUUUUCUUGAUCGCAUGAUUGAGAAAGGAAAGACGGCCUUUGUGCUGUCGCUUAUGGAUGGACCCGCGGCGUAUUAGUUAGUUGGUGAGGUAACGGCUCACCAAGACGAUGAUACGUAGCCGACCUGAGAGGGUGAUCGGCCACAUUGGGACUGAGACACGGCCCAAACUCCUACGGGAGGCAGCAGUAGGGAAUCUUCCGCAAUGGACGAAAGUCUGACGGAGCAACGCUGCGUGAGUGAAAAGGUAAGGUUUUCGGAUACGUAAAACUCUGUUGUCAGAGAAGAACAAGUUGGAGAGUAACUGCUCCAGCCUUGACGGUAUCUGACCAAGAAAGCCACGGCUAACUACGUGCCAGCCGCCGC